UGCUAUGAUGAGAUCAUCAACAGGAAGUGCCGUCAGAGGUGAUAACUGAUAACCAUUCCUGGCUGACU
Non-coding RNA from Mesocricetus auratus (golden hamster), 68 nucleotides. The record is from Rfam. Lineage: Eukaryota; Metazoa; Chordata; Mammalia; Rodentia; Cricetidae.